GGGGAAUAUUGCGCAAUGGGCGAAAGCCUGACGCAGCAACGCCGCGUGGAGGACGACGGUCUUCGGAUUGUAAACUCCUUUCAGCAGGAACGAUUAUGACGGUACCUGCAGAAGAAGCCCCGGCCAACUACGUGCCAGCAGCCGCGGUAAUACGUAGGGGGCGAGCGUUGUCCGGAUUCAUUGGGCGUAAAGAGCUCGUAGGCGGCUUGGUAAGUCGGCUGUGAAACCCCCGGGCUCAACCCGGGGCCUGCAGUCGAUACUGCCAUGGCUAGAGUCCAGUAGGGGAGUACGGAAUUUCCGGUGUAGCGGUGGAAUGCGCAGAUAUCGGAAGGAACACCAGUGGCGAAGGCGGUACUCUGGGCUGGAACUGACGCUGAGGAGCGAGAGUGUGGGGAGCGAAC
Molecule: ribosomal RNA, 401 nt
Filed under: uncultured bacterium
Lineage: Bacteria
Description: bacterial SSU rRNA
Rfam family: Bacterial small subunit ribosomal RNA
Source: RNAcentral